UAUUUUGUGUUAUGUCUUCGUCGUGUAGUUUUCCUUGGUUUUUAUUUGGUAUCCCUUGUUGGUUUGCAUUUUAUUUGUUGAUGAGUGUUAGAAUUGCUUGCUAGUAUGUUUGCUUAUAUGAAUGCUAUGUUGGACUUUAUAGAUUUUCAACGGAGUGACGAAUAGUUCUACCAAGUCAUUAUUCCGAGAGUUUUGUUAUCUUCAUCAAGUAAUACCAGGCAAGUUCACUUUGACCAUGUUUUUCAUACCUAUGUUUUAUUGCAUUUAGUGUCAUCUUUGCAACAAUCCCUCCAGUAGUGAUAUUCAAUUCUUGUAGUUGAGUAGUAUGCAUGAGGUAGGAACCCAUCACCCUGUUACCAAGCCCGGGACGUUAUUUAUUUUAAUGCUACGCUAUAGUAGACGGGGUUUGGUAUGAGUGCACGAGAGUGGUGUGAAGAAGGAGGACUCUACGUCAAUGACGACAACUCCAUGAUGGCAUAUGCGAGGACUGCAUCUUCAAGGCCCCAAGACUUCAAGACUCGAGACAAGAAUUCAAUACACACUACUGGGUGAAGGACGGUUGACGGGCACCCUGGAGAAACCAGUGGAUGCCGGGAUGCAUGGAGAAGCGCCAUGACAUCUUGCGGAAAGCUUCACCCAGACUCAAAGAGACGGAAGAAUACUUCAUGCCCGGAAGCUUACCUGUGCAACCGCAAGUCACUAUGGGCUCUGGCUUGGUUGACCUUAGUUGUGACUCUGGCUGGGACGGUGCUAGCAGAUGUAGAACUACGGUAGGAUUGGAUGAGCACCGGACAGUGGUCAAAGGAACUCUUUGGAAGACCAUGUUUCAGUCAUCUUGUUCUCAAACACCCUGAAGUGCGAGAACGUAAAAAGAGGGAUCGAAUCUUGCGGGUAAAGUGUACAAACCUCUACAGAGGGUUAAAACCUAAUCGAUUAGCCGUGUCCCCGGUUAUGGACAAUUUGAGCCUCUGGACUUGGAUCUAUCUCGGAACUCUCAACACCAGACUGAUAACAUAAUUGUGGGCAAGUUAUGAUGAUUCGGGCAAUGAGACAUCGGUUGGCGGAACCAUGUCAUGAUAGAAAACUCCGUAGUACAGACUCCUGAUGUCCUUUUGUUAUAGGAAAAUAAACCAGCUUUUACGCAAACAAAACUCAGAUACAGAGCCACAAAGCCAUAUUGCAUAUAGCAUAGUUUAUCAUCUGUUUUUAUUACAGUGAUCUUGCCGGUACAUUCAAUGUACUGACCUACACGGCUGCAACGUAUCAUGUUGCAGGAUUAUUUCUACGACGAGUGAGUUUCAUUGAUUGGGUUACGGUCUACACUCAACCUGCCGAUGGCGUUGAUGGGACUCCACACCCGAUUGUUUGUUUCCGCUGAGACUUAUGAGGUAUAUAUCAGUUUUACAUUAUUUAUACAUGUGAUUGCACUUUGAUAUAUACAUUGAUGUACAGUGUGUGCCAGCAUACUGAUCCAGGGAUGGCACAGAUACACAGAGAAUUGACCGUCUGAGGUCGGGUCGCUACAGAUAUGGUAUCAGAGCAAAUGUUGACUGUAGGACGUGACCCUAGAAAUUGGAAAGCCACUAGGACAGGAAAUCUCUAAAAUUAUACUUUUAAAAAGACCCCUACUCCUCAUCUUUUCUGAUUUUAUCAAAUAGUCCCUCUUACCUCAAAUAGUUAGAACAUACCAUAUCCCCUUUUGACCACUCGGAGGAUCAGCUGAAGCCACUCCAUGAAGGACUAGAUAUCACACAACUGAUAACCACUUCAGAGUAAAGAGGAUUUCAUCAUUUGAAGUCUUCGAAGACUCGAAGAAUUUCAAGACUAAAGAUUUAUUUGACCUUUAGAAGACCAAACUCCUGUUAUAUACUUACGUUAGAUGCAACGAUUUGUGAGCUGUCAUUUGUUUGAUGUUUUUCCGACAGCCACAAAAAUAAAACCGAUUUCUUCAAAACUAUUGUUUGUAUUGUGUGUAUCCCUCCCCACCUCUCUCAUAUCUCACCCCAAAACCCUUGGAACCAAUAGAUGAAUGAAGAUGGACUUGUGUUCUCUGGACCGAUGACUCAGCCGGAGGUAGAACUAUGGAUUCAAAAUAUGGAGGAUCACUUCAGGAACAACUUGAUUGGAAGCAAGUAUGAGGUUCAAUACGCUCUUCGGUACUUUACAAAAAGUGCUGCAACCUGGUGGAAAAUGCAUCAUGCCAUACAGGGAUGUAAUGGAGCAAGAACUUGGGAGGAAUUCAAGAAGACUCUGUUGAGAUCUCGUCUUAUUCGGAAGAACUAUGAUAACCCGAAGAAGAAACCUUGUGCUUGCAAGAUUUGCGGAGAAAUAGGACACACCCAGGAGGAACACAAGGAUGGAUGCCCUCAUUGUGAGGAGAAUCACCCAACCGAAGAGUGCCUGACUGGGCAAGUUACUUGUUUCCUGUGUGAAGGAACUACACACUACCCUGAUCAGUGUCACAUUUACCCCAAGGUACAAGAAAUUACCAAGCAGCAGAAAGAAGCCCUUAGGGAAAGUUUAGAGGAACCCGUGAUGAAGGACGUUGUUGAAAACCCUGAAGAAGAAGGCCUAAACAGAUUUUACUCCAAUGCUUCCUAUUCAUGUGGAGGAGAAGGACAUUAUUCUCAGUAUUGCACAAAGGAAAGAGAAGAGUAUCCCGGAGACUUCCCGACAGCAGAAGUGAAGUUUGACCCUCAGGAAAUAGAAGCUCUGAUCAUUACAGAGAAAUCCAGGAAGAGAAAACGAAGGCAACCCCAGAACAACCCAACUUCUGCAAAGAAGGACCUGAGUCAUAUCACUUGUUACAGGUGUAAGGAUUUAGGUCAUUACGCUAGUCAAUGUCCAGAAAAGAAGCCAAGAAUCCAAGGAACCUACAUAAUCACAAAGAAGCCCCGAGACAUUUGUUUUCGCUGCAAGGAAGCAGGACAUUUUUCUAGGGAAUGUUCAAAUCAGAAGAAAGCUGGAGCUGAGUAGUUGAGAUUUUGAUAUGGAUAAUAAGACUGGUAGAAAGCAAUCUUAUUUUCAUAAGUUCGAUGAGUUGAGUUAUGUAAUGGGUGCUCAGAGAUUGUAAUGAAUUCAUGAAAUCAAUAAAGUUAAUGUGUUAUGAUUUCAUAUGUUGUAUUAUGUGAGUUUUUACCCUAUGAACAAAGAUUUUGGACCAGUUUCGAGGAUAUGAGAAAUAUGGUCUAUGGAUGGAUUUGUGAAUUUCAUUUAAGGGUGGUAGUACCCUGUGAAGAACACUAGACCAAUGGAAAGGGAAAUGUGUCCCACAAAUUGGAUUUUGGACAAAACGAGUUGGACUUUUAUCUUUGAUAUGAUGGUAUGAAGAAAUGAAAUACUAUUGGAUUUAAAGGUGGUGUAAUGUUGGAAUAUGGAACAAUUGUAACUCCAAGGAUGAGUUGUACAAGUGUUGAAGUGGGCCAUAACCCACAGGCCCAGGAUUUGAAAAGGAACAGACACAACCUUGUUGUAGGAAGAAAUUAUGGAAGAAGUUGUGAUUUCAUCAGCGGACGUUCCAUAGGAAGUUACGUAAACUCGAGAGUUGUGAAGAAACGAUAGAGGUUUUGUUUGGCUUGCAGGACAUACAGAUUUACCCGAACGCACAUCAUGGAGAAGAGAAGUUCUGCAAUGCUUGUGAGUAUGCCCAAGUGUUAGAAUACGUGAUUCGAUGUCUGCAUAUGUAGUAAUGGUUCAAGUACGGGAUAGAUUGGCCCCCAUACCGGAGACUCCUAUCAAGAACUAUCAUAUGUUGAUGGAGAAUCACAGAGCCAUGAAAACCUUAGAAGAGUGUCAGCACGAUAAGCCAUAAAACCAUAGAAUGGUAGGACGAUGGAACCCUUUACAGGCAACCAUUGCCAAUCGUAGGACAUACGGUGAGAUUCAACCCCGGCCAUUUUCCUGCAGGAGAAGCCAUAAAUUGUUGACCGCCAGGAGGUUCCGAUAGUUUCUUAGUAUUGACGACAGACAUGUCAGAUAUGAAGAUCCACUCUUCGGAAGAACCUCAUCAGGAUUGAGAGGACACGGGAUUUUGAGAAAAGUCAUGCCCCGACCGGAAGAGCACCACUGAAAGAGUUAUCCCGAAGAAUAUGAGAAGACCGACACCAUCAACCCAAAGGAUGGAGUACAUGAAUUUUGUCAGAACCAUAGCCUUGCUUUUAAGUGUGGUAGCAGCCCAGACCUCUGUGAUGAUCGGUGGAUUUGCUGGACGACCCCCAAACCCUAACCUUUUCUUUCUAGCCUUUUCAAAUCUCGAGGACGAGAUUCAUUUUAAGUGUGGUAGGUUUGUAACAUCCCAGAAUUCUAAAUUUUGGAAUGUUAUAUUAAAUAAAUAUUUAUGAUUGUUUGUUUGAUUGUUGUGUGACUGAUUGUGUGAAAUUGAGUGGAAUUUGAAACUUUUUGAAAGUUGAAUGAGAGGGAAUGAAAUGACUUUCCCAAACUUCUCACUUUGCAUUCUGAUCUCCAUGAAUUCAAAUUCUUGUCAAAUGCAAAACCCUAGAGUGAAGAUGACAUGACUUCUUCCAAUUAAAAUGAAAAGGGUUUUUGAAAAUAUUUGAAUUUCAUUUUUGCAAAUAAUUCAAACCAGAAACUUUAUGCAACUCAAUGAUUUUCAUGAGAGAAGAUAAAAUGACUUCUUAAAAUUAUGUGAAAUAUGAGUUGAAAGUUUAAAGAUUCAAAUUGGAAGUUCUUUUGAAACCCUUUUUUUCAAUUCAGAGUUAUUUGGUUUUUCUUCAAAUUAUUUUCUCCAAAAAAUAAAAUAUAUGGAAAAUAGGGUAAAAUGAUUCCCUAAAGUAGAAAAUGGAGAAAAAUGAGUUUGAAAUCAUUUUGGUAUUUUAAAAUAUUUUAUUUGGUUUUUAAAUGAACCGGUAGCACUGUUUUCCUUAUUUAAUUUUUUGUGGAUUUUAGUUGCCUUUGAAAAUAUGUUCAUCUUUUAGGAUUUAUUUUUCUGAACAUUUUGGUAUAUUAUAUGCGUAUAUUAUAUUUCUAUUUGUUUCUUAGUUUAUUUCUGUUCUGUUCUCUGUUUAAAAGAAAAAGGGGAAAAGUCUUUUUAAAAGGCUGAAGCCCAGUCGUCCAGGCCACCUCUCUCUCUCUCCCCGCGGCCCAGCUGGCCUAGCAGCUCGCUCCCGUGCCCGAAAACCCUUCUCACAGGUCGCCCGCUCCCUCUCGCUCUUGCCCGCAGCCACUGACGCAUGGGGCCCGCCGUCUUCUUCCUCCUCACGCCAAGCCAAGUCAACGCCCGAGCUCGCUGAACCGCCGUCGUAUCCCGGAUCGCUCAGGAUCAUCUUCCCCGAUUCGCCCCCUCCUCCAAGAACCCCUCCCCCUAUAUAUACCCCUCUUCCUCGUUCAUUUCCGCCCUAAAGCCGCCCCGAACCCCCCUCCCCCGCACGUAUUGCCUCGCCAGAGCUCGAGCACCGCCGCCACGCCAUUGCCGCCGCAGCACUCGACCCCGACCACCUUGCCGCCACCUGAGAUCACCACCAUAACCCCAUCGCUCGUCCGCAUCUCCCCGUGCCCUCGCCCAAGCCCGAAACGCAUCGGAGCGCCGUCAUCCGCCGAAGCCCGAACGCCAUCGCCGCGUCAACCUCACUGCCGUCCUCCUCUGACGGCCCCGAGCUCACCACCGACCACCAUCGUCAUCGCCAUCAUCUUCCGCAUCUCCUGGACGCCUUCCCCGUCACCGGGGACCACCGGAGGCGUCGACCGCAUUGUACCCGAGCCGCCGGAACCUCGCCGGAGUCACCUCGCCGCCACUGUGAGCAUCCCCUCUCUUCUCCCUCGUUUGAUCUUUUUUCAACGCUCUAGAUUAGAUAUAUCGAGUAGGUUGUUUUUUUAAUUAGAUCGGUUUAGUUCCGGUUUGUUAUGGUUUUUAUUCGGUUUAGAUCGGUUCAGGCCUAGUCGUUUUAGCCGAUCGGUCUUUCUGUUUUAGCCCAUACACAUUUGUGUUAUUUUACGACCGAGCGCUAGAUAGUUCAGAUCGCCCACCUCCCUGGCCCGAUAGCAGUAGGCCACGUAGCUAGUGCCCGAUUGUUUUUGUUUUGUUUUGAUUUUCGUUUCUGUUUUAAAAACAGAAUAGUUCUGAUUUUAUAUUGCUUAUAACUUUUAUGUUUUAUAUCCAAAUUUAGUUUUUUUUUGCAUUAGUUUUAUAAUUUCUUGAAGUUUCUGCUAGUGCAAUUGGAUUUCAUAUUUGAGUUGUUGAAAAUUGAAUUUGAUGAAAUUUGUUCAAAUCACCAAUUUGGUUGUAUCUUGAGUUUUAUAAAAUAUUUUUGAUUGAUUCUUUUUGAUAUUGUUUUUUAUAGUUUUGUCUAUCCAGUAGCAUAUAGUGAUUUAUUUUUAGUUUAUUUUAAAUUAAGUUUUUAGUAAAACAGUACUGUUAUAGUUAUAGUUUUGUUUUAGUCUUUUCUUUAUUGUUUUUAUUAGUUUUAAAUUAUUAUUUUUUGUCACUUUUGACAAAUUUAGUUUUGUUUCUGUAGUUAUAGAGGGUGAGCUUUUAUUUACAGAAAAAUAAAAUGUUUUAUUUAUUUUUCUUACUAGUUUUGUUUUAAGCAUAGUUAGAGUUUUAAUUUAGCUUUUUAUGUGUUUCCUUUUGCUAGUAAAAGUUUAUGAAAAAUACCUUAUGUUAUUUUAAUAAACACUAUAUUUCUUUUCUGAUAGUUAGUUUAGUGUUUUAAUUGUUGUUAAGUUUUUACUUAGGACAAAACUAUUUUGUGUUAUGUCUUCGUCGUGUAGUUUUCCUUGGUUUUUAUUUGGUAUCCCUUGUUGGUUUGCAUUUUAUUUGUUGAUGAGUGUUAGAAUUGCUUGCUAGUAUGUUUGCUUAUAUGAAUGCUAUGUUGGACUUUAUAGAUUUUCAAUGGAGUGACGAAUAGUUCUACCAAGUCAUUAUUCCGAGAGUUUUGUUAUCUUCAUCAAGUAAUACCAGGCAAGUUCACUUUGACCAUGUUUUUCAUACCUAUGUUUUAUUGCAUUUAGUGUCAUCUUUGCAACAAUCCCUCCAGUAGUGAUAUUCAAUUCUUGUAGUUGAGUAGUAUGCAUGAGG
Molecule: long non-coding RNA, 7033 nt
Filed under: Triticum aestivum (bread wheat)
Lineage: Eukaryota; Viridiplantae; Streptophyta; Magnoliopsida; Poales; Poaceae
Description: long non-coding RNA (TAES_LNC016201)
Source: RNAcentral